RNAcentral lists this ribosomal RNA (266 nucleotides) under uncultured Bacteroidota bacterium. RNAcentral's name for it is "uncultured Bacteroidetes bacterium partial 16S ribosomal RNA". It matches the Rfam family "Bacterial small subunit ribosomal RNA", at positions 1133 to 1397 of the family's 1533-position model. Lineage: Bacteria; Pseudomonadati; Bacteroidota. The record is from RNAcentral.
GGGGACUCUAGGGAGACUGCCGGCGUAAGCCGCGAGGAAGGUGGGGACGACGUCAAGUCAUCAUGGCCUUUAUGCCCAGGGCUACACACGUGCUACAAUGGCGCAUACAGAGGGUUGCGAAACUGUGAAGUGGAGCUAAUCUCAUAAAGUGCGUCCCAGUUCGGAUUGGAGUCUGGAACUCGACUCCAUGAAGGUGGAAUCGCUAGUAAUCGCGCAUCAGCCAUGGCGCGGUGAAUACGUUCCCGGACCUUGUACACACCGCCCGU